GGGGGGGGGGGGGGGGGGGCUUGGCGGGUGGAGGGCGAACGGGGGGCCUCGUCGGGGGGGGUCAGUGGCGGACGGGUGAGUACCACGUGGGCGACCUGCCCCCGGCUCUGGGAUAACUCCGAGCAAUUGGGGCUAAUACCGGCUGUUCACCGCUUCCCGCCCGGGUGGUUGUGGCCAGGGUUUCCGGCUGGGGAUGCGCCCGCGGCCUAUCAGCUGGUUGGUGGGGUAGUGGCCUACCAAGGCGACGACGGGUAGCCGGCCUGAGAGGGUGACCGGCCACACUGGGACUGAGACACGGCCAAGACUCCUACGGGAGGCAGCAGUGGGGAAUAUUGCGCAAUGGGCGGAAGCCUGACGCAGCGACGCCGCGUGGGGGAUGACGGCCUUCGGGUUGUAAACCUCUUUCAGCAGGGACGAAGCGCAAGUGACGGUACCUGCAGAAGAAGCACCGGCCAACUACGUG
This 463-nucleotide ribosomal RNA is filed under the name uncultured bacterium. Its description in RNAcentral is "partial 16S ribosomal RNA". It matches the Rfam family "Bacterial small subunit ribosomal RNA", at positions 38 to 507 of the family's 1533-position model. The record is from RNAcentral.